GCAUUCAGCCAUACUACCGUGACUGUGCCUGAUCUCAUCUGAUCCUGGAAGCUAAGGAGGGUUGGGCUUUUGUAUUUGGUUCGGAGAAAGUGUGAUACU
Molecule: ribosomal RNA, 99 nt
Filed under: Otolemur garnettii (small-eared galago)
Lineage: Eukaryota; Metazoa; Chordata; Mammalia; Primates; Galagidae
Source: RNAcentral